AGGUGGCCUGUGAGGGUUGCUGGAGGUAUCAGAAGUGCGAAUGCUGACAUAAGUAACGAUAAAGCGGGUGAAAAGCCCGCUCGCCGGAAGACCAAGGGUUCCUGUCCAACGUUAAUCGGGGCAGGGUGAGUCGACCCCUAAGGCGAGGCCGAAAGGCGUAGUCGAUGGGAAACGGGUUAAUAUUCCCGUACUUGGUGUUACUGCGAAGGGGGGACGGAGAAGGCUAUGUUGGCCGGGCGACGGUUGUCCCGGUUUAAGCGUGUAGGCUGGUUUUCCAGGCAAAUCCGGAAAAUCAAGGCUGAGGCGUGACGACGAGGCACUACGGUGCUGAAGCAACAAAUGCCCUGCUUCCAGGAAAAGCCUCUAAGCAUCAGGUAACAUCAAAUCGUACCCCAAACCGACACAGGUGGUCAGGUAGAGAAUACCAAGGCGCUUGAGAGAACUCGGGUGAAGGAACUAGGCAAAAUGGUGCCGUAACUUCGGGAGAAGGCACGCUGACAUGUAGGUGAAGUGAUUUACUCAUGGAGCUGAAGUCAGUCGAAGAUACCAGCUGGCUGCAACUGUUUAUUAAAAACACAGCACUGUGCAAACACGAAAGUGGACGUAUACGGUGUGACGCCUGCCCGGUGCCGGAAGGUUAAUUGAUGGGGUCAGCGCAAGCGAAGCUCCUGAUCGAAGCCCCGGUAAACGGCGGCCGUAACUAUAACGGUCCUAAGGUAGCGAAAUUCCUUGUCGGGUAAGUUCCGACCUGCACGAAUGGCGUAAUGAUGGCCAGGCUGUCUCCACCCGAGACUCAGUGAAAUUGAACUCGCUGUGAAGAUGCAGUGUACCCGCGGCAAGACGGAAAGACCCCGUGAACCUUUACUAUAGCUUGACACUGAACAUUGAGCCUUGAUGUGUAGGAUAGGUGGGAGGCUUUGAAGCGUGGACGCCAGUCUGCGUGGAGCCGACCUUGAAAUACCACCCUUUAAUGUUUGAUGUUCUAACGUGGACCCGUGAUCCGGGUUGCGGACAGUGUCUGGUGGGUAGUUUGACUGGGGCGGUCUCCUCCUAAAGAGUAACGGAGGAGCACGAAGGUUGGCUAAUCCUGGUCGGACAUCAGGAGGUUAGUGCAAUGGCAUAAGCCAGCUUGACUGCGAGCGUGACGGCGCGAGCAGGUGCGAAAGCAGGUCAUAGUGAUCCGGUGGUUCUGAAUGGAAGGGCCAUCGCUCAACGGAUAAAAGGUACUCCGGGGAUAACAGGCUGAUACCGCCCAAGAGUUCAUAUCGACGGCGGUGUUUGGCACCUCGAUGUCGGCUCAUCACAUCCUGGGGCUGAAGUAGGUCCCAAGGGUAUGGCUGUUCGCCAUUUAAAGUGGUACGCGAGCUGGGUUUAGAACGUCGUGAGACAGUUCGGUCCCUAUCUGCCGUGGGCGCUGGAGAACUGAGGGGGGCUGCUCCUAGUACGAGAGGACCGGAGUGGACGCAUCACUGGUGUUCGGGUUGUCAUGCCAAUGGCACUGCCCGGUAGCUAAAUGCGGAAGAGAUAAGUGCUGAAAGCAUCUAAGCACGAAACUUGCCCCGAGAUGAGUUCUCCCUGAGACUUAGAGUCUCCUGAA
RNAcentral lists this ribosomal RNA (1597 nucleotides) under Salmonella enterica subsp. enterica serovar Stanleyville. RNAcentral's name for it is "partial 23S ribosomal RNA". It matches the Rfam family "Bacterial large subunit ribosomal RNA", at positions 1254 to 2832 of the family's 2925-position model. Lineage: Bacteria; Pseudomonadati; Pseudomonadota; Gammaproteobacteria; Enterobacterales; Enterobacteriaceae. The record is from RNAcentral.